RNAcentral lists this ribosomal RNA (2798 nucleotides) under Escherichia coli 1-392-07_S3_C1. RNAcentral's name for it is "bacterial LSU rRNA". It matches the Rfam family "Bacterial large subunit ribosomal RNA". Lineage: Bacteria; Pseudomonadati; Pseudomonadota; Gammaproteobacteria; Enterobacterales; Enterobacteriaceae. The record is from RNAcentral.
CGAUUUCCGAAUGGGGAAACCCAGUGUGUUUCGACACACUAUCAUUAACUGAAUCCAUAGGUUAAUGAGGCGAACCGGGGGAACUGAAACAUCUAAGUACCCCGAGGAAAAGAAAUCAACCGAGAUUCCCCCAGUAGCGGCGAGCGAACGGGGAGCAGCCCAGAGCCUGAAUCAGUGUGUGUGUUAGUGGAAGCGUCUGGAAAGACGCGCGAUACAGGGUGACAGCCCCGUACACAAAAAUGCACAUGCUGUGAGCUCGAUGAGUAGGGCGGGACACGUGGUAUCCUGUCUGAAUAUGGGGGGACCAUCCUCCAAGGCUAAAUACUCCUGACUGACCGAUAGUGAACCAGUACCGUGAGGGAAAGGCGAAAAGAACCCCGGCGAGGGGAGUGAAAAAGAACCUGAAACCGUGUACGUACAAGCAGUGGGAGCACGCUUAGGCGUGUGACUGCGUACCUUUUGUAUAAUGGGUCAGCGACUUAUAUUCUGUAGCAAGGUUAACCGAAUAGGGGAGCCGAAGGGAAACCGAGUCUUAACUGGGCGUUAAGUUGCAGGGUAUAGACCCGAAACCCGGUGAUCUAGCCAUGGGCAGGUUGAAGGUUGGGUAACACUAACUGGAGGACCGAACCGACUAAUGUUGAAAAAUUAGCGGAUGACUUGUGGCUGGGGGUGAAAGGCCAAUCAAACCGGGAGAUAGCUGGUUCUCCCCGAAAGCUAUUUAGGUAGCGCCUCGUGAAUUCAUCUCCGGGGGUAGAGCACUGUUUCGGCAAGGGGGUCAUCCCGACUUACCAACCCGAUGCAAACUGCGAAUACCGGAGAAUGUUAUCACGGGAGACACACGGCGGGUGCUAACGUCCGUCGUGAAGAGGGAAACAACCCAGACCGCCAGCUAAGGUCCCAAAGUCAUGGUUAAGUGGGAAACGAUGUGGGAAGGCCCAGACAGCCAGGAUGUUGGCUUAGAAGCAGCCAUCAUUUAAAGAAAGCGUAAUAGCUCACUGGUCGAGUCGGCCUGCGCGGAAGAUGUAACGGGGCUAAACCAUGCACCGAAGCUGCGGCAGCGACGCUGAUGCGUUGUUGGGUAGGGGAGCGUUCUGUAAGCCUGUGAAGGUGUGCUGUGAGGCAUGCUGGAGGUAUCAGAAGUGCGAAUGCUGACAUAAGUAACGAUAAAGCGGGUGAAAAGCCCGCUCGCCGGAAGACCAAGGGUUCCUGUCCAACGUUAAUCGGGGCAGGGUGAGUCGACCCCUAAGGCGAGGCCGAAAGGCGUAGUCGAUGGGAAACAGGUUAAUAUUCCUGUACUUGGUGUUACUGCGAAGGGGGGACGGAGAAGGCUAUGUUGGCCGGGCGACGGUUGUCCCGGUUUAAGCGUGUAGGCUGGUUUUCCAGGCAAAUCCGGAAAAUCAAGGCUGAGGCGUGAUGACGAGGCACUACGGUGCUGAAGCAACAAAUGCCCUGCUUCCAGGAAAAGCCUCUAAGCAUCAGGUAACAUCAAAUCGUACCCCAAACCGACACAGGUGGUCAGGUAGAGAAUACCAAGGCGCUUGAGAGAACUCGGGUGAAGGAACUAGGCAAAAUGGUGCCGUAACUUCGGGAGAAGGCACGCUGAUAUGUAGGUGAAGUCCCUCGCGGAUGGAGCUGAAAUCAGUCGAAGAUACCAGCUGGCUGCAACUGUUUAUUAAAAACACAGCACUGUGCAAACACGAAAGUGGACGUAUACGGUGUGACGCCUGCCCGGUGCCGGAAGGUUAAUUGAUGGGGUUAGCCGCAAGGCGAAGCUCUUGAUCGAAGCCCCGGUAAACGGCGGCCGUAACUAUAACGGUCCUAAGGUAGCGAAAUUCCUUGUCGGGUAAGUUCCGACCUGCACGAAUGGCGUAAUGAUGGCCAGGCUGUCUCCACCCGAGACUCAGUGAAAUUGAACUCGCUGUGAAGAUGCAGUGUACCCGCGGCAAGACGGAAAGACCCCGUGAACCUUUACUAUAGCUUGACACUGAACAUUGAGCCUUGAUGUGUAGGAUAGGUGGGAGGCUUUGAAGUGUGGACGCCAGUCUGCAUGGAGCCGACCUUGAAAUACCACCCUUUAAUGUUUGAUGUUCUAACGUUGACCCGUAAUCCGGGUUGCGGACAGUGUCUGGUGGGUAGUUUGACUGGGGCGGUCUCCUCCUAAAGAGUAACGGAGGAGCACGAAGGUUGGCUAAUCCUGGUCGGACAUCAGGAGGUUAGUGCAAUGGCAUAAGCCAGCUUGACUGCGAGCGUGACGGCGCGAGCAGGUGCGAAAGCAGGUCAUAGUGAUCCGGUGGUUCUGAAUGGAAGGGCCAUCGCUCAACGGAUAAAAGGUACUCCGGGGAUAACAGGCUGAUACCGCCCAAGAGUUCAUAUCGACGGCGGUGUUUGGCACCUCGAUGUCGGCUCAUCACAUCCUGGGGCUGAAGUAGGUCCCAAGGGUAUGGCUGUUCGCCAUUUAAAGUGGUACGCGAGCUGGGUUUAGAACGUCGUGAGACAGUUCGGUCCCUAUCUGCCGUGGGCGCUGGAGAACUGAGGGGGGCUGCUCCUAGUACGAGAGGACCGGAGUGGACGCAUCACUGGUGUUCGGGUUGUCAUGCCAAUGGCACUGCCCGGUAGCUAAAUGCGGAAGAGAUAAGUGCUGAAAGCAUCUAAGCACGAAACUUGCCCCGAGAUGAGUUCUCCCUGACUCCUUGAGAGUCCUGAAGGAACGUUGAAGACGACGACGUUGAUAGGCCGGGUGUGUAAGCGCAGCGAUGCGUUGAGCUAACCGGUACUAAUGAACCGUGAGGCUUAACCUU